Molecule: transfer RNA, 77 nt
Filed under: Candidatus Bathyarchaeota archaeon
Lineage: Archaea; Thermoproteati; Candidatus Bathyarchaeota
Also listed under: 2 other names
Description: tRNA-Asn
Rfam family: tRNA
About the family: Transfer RNA (tRNA) molecules are approximately 80 nucleotides in length.
Source: RNAcentral
GCCGCCGUAGCUCAGUUAGGUAGAGCAGCGGGCUGUUAACCCGUUGGUCGACGGUUCGAGUCCGUCCGGCGGCGCCA